RNAcentral lists this ribosomal RNA (301 nucleotides) under uncultured bacterium. Its description in RNAcentral is "partial 16S ribosomal RNA". It matches the Rfam family "Bacterial small subunit ribosomal RNA", at positions 509 to 807 of the family's 1533-position model. The record is from RNAcentral.
CAGUCGCCGCGGUAAAACGGAGGGUGCAAGCGUUAAUCGGAAUUACUGGGCGUAAAGCGUGCGUAGGCGGUUCGUUAAGUCUGUUGUGAAAGCCCCGGGCUCAACCUGGGAAUGGCAAUGGAUACUGGCGAGCUAGAGUGUGUCAGAGGAUGGUGGAAUUCCCGGUGUAGCGGUGAAAUGCGUAGAGAUCGGGAGGAACAUCAGUGGCGAAGGCGGCCAUCUGGGACAACACUGACGCUGAGGCACGAAAGCGUGGGGAGCAAACAGGAUUAGAUACCCCGGUAGUCCCUGUCUCUUAUAC